Molecule: long non-coding RNA, 2941 nt
Organism: Empidonax traillii (willow flycatcher)
Lineage: Eukaryota; Metazoa; Chordata; Aves; Passeriformes; Tyrannidae
Exons: 3
Source: RefSeq, a predicted model, not a curated record
AGAUAGAUGAUAGAUAGAUAGAUAAAGCCCCUCUGUCCUUUCUUAUUUGUCACCCAUUUAGAUAUUUUAUGCCUGAACCUGUUUUUGUUCCACAGGUACCAGGAGCUGGGAAGUGCCUGUUCUUCCUGCAGUCUUGCAGCUUCAGUAACCCCAAAUAUAUUUAGACUGAUGACUCGAUUCCCUCAUCACAAAGAUAUGUGAGAAGGAAUUGUAGUCUAUCUUGUAAAAACAGUGCUACACUUGUACAUGCAUGUGUAGGACUGUUAAAGAUUUUACAAGAUACACGGGAAUGUGCGGCUGCUUAUCUUGGGAAAGGUGGGAGCUCAGCUUUAAAAAAGAAAUCCACCCUCUACCCCUGGCCUGGACUGCCAAGUUUUAGCUGCGCAUUCCCUGUUUGAGGCACAUCCUGCACACAGAGGUGAAUACGCUCUCCAAUUUAGAGGGAAGAUUUAGGAGCAAACUCUACUUCAUUUACAUCAUUAAAAUCCUAAUGAGGCUGUAAAUCAGGGUAAGAGUAUGGUUGAGGUCGAUAGGGUUGGGUGGAUUUAAAUGGCUGCAGAAUUUGUCCUGUUUAGGUGGAAAUAUAGACCAGAUGAGCAUAGGAGAGCUGAAAGAAAAAAAAUUUCACAUUCUUGUUCAGAUCCAAACAGAGUAACGGCACCUAUCAAUUUUGGGCCAGAAUGUUUUGCUUCUUUCUGAAAAGAGAUAACAGUGAAAAUGUUCACUGUCCUAAAUCACAGUGGCCAAUGAUAAACACAUUAAAAUGGGCCAAAAAUAAUUUAUAAAAGCUUGAAAUAAUUUCUUUUCCCUGACAUAUCUUUGAUAGGGUAGUAAUUAGAACUAGAGUUGUAUUCCUCAGUUUAAAAUUUUCUUCAAACUAUUAACAAAAUUUGAUGUAUUUCCCAAAAUACACCAACAUGAUUACAUUUUCCGUUACUUCCCUUUUGUAAGCAAGCUUCAAUAUUUCUAGUAUUACAUAGCAUGGAAUGAUCUGGAAAUACAUAUGUUCACUGAGAGCUCUGGUUUGAAUCUGAAGUCUUAAUUAAUGUUGUUUUACAGUGUUUCAGUACAAGAGGGCAUAGUUUAGAAGCUGAAAAAGGCAGCCCAUCUUGUAUGCCCAGUCCAGACCACUGGUUUAAAUGGAAUUCUCCACCUAGCACAGCCCAUGGAAUCAGCCUCUCUGCUGAGCUGCAGCCAGCUUGUUUUUCUAUUCCUUAAACAGUCCUGCAGCACUUGCCAGGAAAUGCAAGAAAAUAAAAUGACUCACUGAAAUAGUAGUUGUUUCCAUUGGAAAAAUUAUUAAAAACAAACAGUAAUGUUAUCAUAUAUAAACUUUCAUAUUAACAUUCCACAGCACAAUUGUUUCUGUUGUUGUGUGGCAGUGUCAUAUCAAGGACCAUUUUGUCUUAAAAAUAAUAUUAAUGUGAGCUGAUGCAAGUGGUGAUAUUCCUAAUGCAGUUGUGCUGACACAAGGCAUGGAAUGACAAUCUAUGGACCGUGGAAAAAACCCACUGUCUGCUGAGCCAAGCUCAUGUCUUCAACCUGCAUAGCAGCAAAUCUCUGAUUUAAUUGUGAAGCUCUUUGCUUACAGGCAGCAUUAAUUCCAUAUACCACCUAUGUUAAUUAUGUUUAUAUUACAGACACACAAACAGGGUUGUUUUUUUUUUUUCCAAAAUGUGAAGGGAGUGGUUUUAAAAGACAAGAUGCCAGAUAAGAUUUCAAAGCUGCCAGAGAACUUGCAGAUGAAGAACUGCAUUAAGCAGACUAACAAUGAAUUUAUUAUCUUCCAGUGAGAACAGUCGAACAAAUUUCACACCUCACACAAUUGCAAAGGGAUUAUGGGCACAUUGACAACACUUGACUCAGUUUGCUUCCAGGACGGUGUAUUUUUGGAAUUGCUCAGACACCUUCCUGCAUUCUGACCUCUCUGUGCCUCCAAAUUCCUUUAAGGUCUCCCAGAAUUGCAGUGAUGCCACUUCCUCCAGAGUCUCAGGACGGAUGGCACAGAUAAAGACCAUUUUUACCAGUAGUGCAAUUUCACCCCCAAUAGAUCAAACCCCUCUGUCCUCAAAGUCUGGCACAACACAAGAAACAAUAGGAACCCUGACUACCCAUAGGAAUUCAUGUUUAUCUCUGGAAGGUCAAAACCUAUCCCAGGUUCAGUUUUCAGCUCAACAUGGGGAAGGUGCUGCUAAGGUUCAGCUCUUUAAAAAAAAACUGUGGUAAAACUGUCUAGAAGAAGAAGUUUGAUGCACUCCUGCAGGAUUCAUUACUUCCCCAAUAAAUUCAACAUGGCAUUUCAACAUGUUUGUAUUGUGACUUCACUAGUUUUUGUUAUGUAUUUGAAAUAUAAUGAUAUUUGAUAAUAGUUCAUGGCAGAGUUAUUUUUAAAAUGUAUAAUAGUGACAGCAUUCAGACAUAUUACACACUCCAUUUGAAUGAGAAAAAGUUUGUGAUUCACUUGCCUUACAGAAAUUGUAUUUCACUGUCAUUAUCAAAAUUACAUUAUUUAAGUACUGCACGAUUUUCAUACCAAAUUAUCUUUUCACAGAAAAAAAAAAAAUCAGUGCGGUCAAUUACAGUGUAUUAAAAUCCUGAACACCAUUUUCAUAUUACAUUACAAACAUUCUUUGUGCAUUGUUUCUUUGCUGUAGCUCUGCUGUUUCAUCAGAUAUAAUCACCACUGUCGAGAUGUACAGAACUGGUCUGAAUUGGGAAGAAUGUACAGAAGAUGUUGAUGCUGGGAUCCAUUAUGCUAAAUGUACAUGUUAAUCACCAAUGUCCUAUUAUGCUUAUCUUUCUGUGGGUUUUUGGCUAAUUUUCCAGGUCCAGGAUAUUAACAGCGCCUUUGGUAUGCAUGGAUUAGGUUAUUCUAUUAGGGAUGAAAUGGCUAAAUGGGUGAAACCAAAGAAAUGCAGUAAAAAGCUGUUGCCUGUGGAUU